GUUGAACGCUGGCGGCGUGCCUAACACAUGCAAGUCGAGCGAAGCACUUACUUUAGAUUUCUUCGGAAUGACGAAGUUUGUGACUGAGCGGCGGACGGGUGAGUAACGCGUGGGCAACCUGCCCUGUACAGGGGGAUAACAGUUAGAAAUGACUGCUAAUACCGCAUAAGCCCACAGCUUCGCAUGAAGCAGUGGGAAAAACUCCGGUGGUACAGGAUGGGCCCGCGUCUGAUUAGCUAGUUGGUAAGGUAACGGCUUACCAAGGCGACGAUCAGUAGCCGACCUGAGAGGGUGACCGGCCACAUUGGGACUGAGACACGGCCCAAACUCCUACGGGAGGCAGCAGUGGGGAAUAUUGCACAAUGGGGGAAACCCUGAUGCAGCGACGCCGCGUGAGCGAUGAAGUAUUUCGGUAUGUAAAGCUCUAUCAGCAGGGAAGAAAGUGACGGUACCUGACUAAGAAGCCCCGGCUAACUACGUG
This 481-nucleotide ribosomal RNA is filed under the name uncultured bacterium. Its description in RNAcentral is "partial 16S ribosomal RNA". It matches the Rfam family "Bacterial small subunit ribosomal RNA", at positions 28 to 507 of the family's 1533-position model. The record is from RNAcentral.